CUUGAGGGGAUGCACCAGAAGCAAGGAAGUAACUGUUGACAAAGUGAGACGGGCCACAAAGUAGAGCUUUUCUUGACAUCUGAUGGCAGCACAAUAGUAAGCUGCACCGCUUCUGUGGACAUUGCAGAUGAACACAUAAAACCUCUCCCUCAACCAGAUCCUGUACGUGACAAUGAAGAAACACAUGCUCAAGUGCUGAAAAAUAGAUUAGCAAAAAAAAGAAGUUUGACAUAACCCAAGACAACAUGUUCGUUAAAUUUCAUAGAUGCAAAAGAGAGAAUGCUUCUGUUGCAAAACAUAGAAGUCUUCUGCAAGCAGCUGCCACGCCCAUAUCUCAGAGCCCUAGUGAGUUGUAGAGAAGUUUCAAGAGUUAGAGUAUUUCCUCUGUACAGUAACUAAAAUAAUAAAAGACCACAAUUUUUAUUCAUAAAA
This is a long non-coding RNA of Homo sapiens (human), 432 nucleotides long. Lineage: Eukaryota; Metazoa; Chordata; Mammalia; Primates; Hominidae. The record is from Ensembl.